UUUGAACUACAGGAAAUUAAAAGGCCUUAGAAGCAGACUCAGAAACAGGGACUUUCUGAUCUUCUCGUUUCUCCUCCUCACCAAGGACAGAUAGAUAGAAAGUAUAUCUAUUACAGAGAGAGCUUCUCUCUGGAAGUUCUCUAGUAUGGCUGUAGAAACUUCUUCCAAAAGAAACGCAAUUAUCUUAAAACCCCCUCCCUAGGAAUCUCAUCAAAUAAGCAAAGAAGAUUAAGCGCAGAGAAAAGACAAUGCUGUCACCAUGCCCAUGCCAAACACUUUUCAUCUAUUCUUCUGAGACUAGCUCUGAGAAGUUACCUGGGAGAUUUUACCUAUGUAAGAAGACAACCUUUGCUCACUGUGGAGUUCUGUCCCUCACUUUUCUGCAAUUUGUUGGAACAUCCUUCAGAGAUCAGAGAAGCUUUGUUCUAGGACAUUGGCUGUUCUUGGGACUCAUUCAAUCUCCCUGAAAGUCACUUACUACCCCUUAAAAUUACCUACAUUUCUCAUUUCUCUCUUCCCUAUGAAGAGAGUAUUUAAGCUUCAACCACCUUGCCCUUCUUUGAGUUUCAUAUUUUGUAUGGUUCCCGUAAACACUUACAUGUUAAUAAAUUUGUG
Molecule: long non-coding RNA, 615 nt
Filed under: Homo sapiens (human)
Lineage: Eukaryota; Metazoa; Chordata; Mammalia; Primates; Hominidae
Description: HSALNT0271188
Source: RNAcentral